RNAcentral lists this small RNA (75 nucleotides) under Arabidopsis thaliana (thale cress). RNAcentral's name for it is "ATSL160550". Lineage: Eukaryota; Viridiplantae; Streptophyta; Magnoliopsida; Brassicales; Brassicaceae. The record is from RNAcentral.
AAGUAAUCUUUGUACUCAUCACCCCCAGAGCCAUCCUAAUCCAUCUUGUUACUUCAACGAAAUAUUAUUGUUAGA